This 150-nucleotide non-coding RNA is filed under the name Pan paniscus (pygmy chimpanzee). Lineage: Eukaryota; Metazoa; Chordata; Mammalia; Primates; Hominidae. RNAcentral also lists the same sequence under 1 other name. The record is from Rfam by way of RNAcentral.
GCCAGGUGUGGUGGCACGUGCCUGUAGUCCCAGCUACUUGGGAGGCUGAGGCAGGAGAAUCGCUUGAAUCCAGGAGGUGGGGGUUGCAGUGAGCUGGGAUCCUGCCACUGUACUCUCCAGCCUGGGCAACAGAGCGAGACUCUGUCUCAA